RNAcentral lists this ribosomal RNA (1153 nucleotides) under human gut metagenome. Its description in RNAcentral is "bacterial LSU rRNA". It matches the Rfam family "Bacterial large subunit ribosomal RNA", at positions 808 to 1985 of the family's 2925-position model. The record is from RNAcentral.
GGUGUGGGUAGGGGAGAAAUUCCAAUCGAACCCGGAGAUAGCUGGUUCUCCUCGAAAUAGCUUUAGGGCUAGCCUCGUUUUAGUCUUAUGGAGGUAGAGCACUGAAUUUCCGCGGGGGCGUCAAAGCUUACCAAAGAAUAUCAAACUCCGAAUGCCAUGUAGAUGAUGAACGGGAGUCAGACUGCACGAGAUAAGUUGGGCAGUCAAAAGGGAAAGAGCCCAGACCGCCAGCCAAGGUCCCAAAGUGUGUGUUAAGUGGAAAAGGAUGUGGGAUCUCCAAGACAACUAGGAUGUUGGCUCAGAAGCAGCCACACAUUCAAAGAGUGCGUAACAGCUCACUAGUCGAGAGGUCCUGCGCCGAAAAUGUCCGGGGCUGAAACACAACACCGAAGCUGCGGAAUUGCGAAUGCAAUUGGUAGAGGAGCAUUCUUAAUACCGACGAAGCUGUACCGGAAGGAGCAGUGGAGGGAUAAGAAGAGAGAAUGCCGGAAUGAGUAGCGAGAGAGAGGUGGGAAUCCUCUCGGCCGAAUAUCCAAGGUUUCCAGAGUAAAGCUGAUCUGCUCUGGGUAAGUCGGGGCCUAAGGCGAGGUCAAAAGACGUAGCCGAUGGACAACAGGUUUAGAUUCCUGUACCGCAUAUAAACAGAACUGUGGGGACGCAUGGGGAGAGCAUGGGCCGGGAAUGGAAAUACCGGUGCAAGCGAAGGAGGUGUGCAGCCGGCAAAUCCGCUGCAUGAGCCGAAAGCGUGACGCGGAGCGAAAUGAAAGUAGCGAAGCAUGUGAGCCCUGUGCCGAGAAAAGCCGCUAUAGCUUUAUAUGUGCCCGUACCGUAAACCGACACAGGUGGAUGAGGAGAGAAUCCUAAGGCCGGCGGAAGAAGUAUUGUUAAGGAACUCGGCAAAAUGACCCCGUAACUUCGGGAGAAGGGGUGCCCACGGGAGUGGGCCGCAGAGAAUAGGCUCAAGCAACUGUUUAGCAAAAACACAGGUCUAUGCGAAACCGAAAGGUGAAGUAUAUGGGCUGACGCCUGCCCGGUGCUGGAAGGUUAAGAGGAGAGGUUAGCGCAAGCGAAGCUUUGAAUUUAAGCCCCAGUAAACGGCGGCCGUAACUAUAACGGUCCUAAGGUAGCGAAAUUCCUUGUCGGGUAAGUUCCG